UUCCCUUCUGUUCUUUAAGACAUGUCUUUGGUUCUGAAAAGAUGACAAUGUGACCACAAUUUCAAUAGAGAUAAAAAAUAAUUUAAGACAUCAUUCAUAGACUAUUUUUUUUUUCAGUCAGAGAAACAGCGAAUGGAAAGCACAGUCUUAAUGUCAGAAUGAUCUUGUAUCUUUUAGAAUUUGCAUAGGUGUUUCAACAACUCAGAUUAAUGACAGCUAUCAGAAUAAGUAUUUGACCAUGAGAAUUUGAAGUACUAGAUCUGGAGAGCUAUUUUUAUAGUCAGUAAAUAAUUGACUUUUUAUUUAUAUAAAUUUCAAGGUGCAUGUGUCAGAGGACACGAUGUCUGUAUUCUUGUUGAGUGGGAAAACUUACACAUCAGAAACUGUACAGAGGAGAAGAGAAGGACAAAUAAAAUUCUGACAGACCUUUUACUGAAAUAAAAGCAAAUCACAAGGUGUUCUAGUGAAAAAUAUUAAGCCUUAACUUUUCUCUUUGAUAUUCUUCCUGGGCAAUAAACAAAAAAGGUGAUGCUACAGGUUUCAAGGUUUGUGGUUGCAAAGGGACAGCACCUGUGAUUUUAAAGGCAGCAGCUGGAAGGUAAAACAUCUUAAAGAGAGCAACUAUUAAUAUUUUUAUUUCAGCACAAAAUCUGAGAGCAAAUCCAAAACUUAAGUGAUGGUUUGUUGUUUUGUUUUCCUUUGUUAUUAUUAUUUCAAGCUGCUUUUUUCCUUUUUUCUUUUUAUUUAUUCCUCAGUAACACUACCCUCACUAUAUUUAGAAUUCACAGAUAGAUAUUGCCUUUUCUAUCCGUGUUCUCUUACACCUCAUUUGAAAGUACUAGAUUAUGCCUCAGUCCAAACUUUCUUUUCAAUUUCCUUCUUUCCCUAGGCAUUUCUUUCAAUUGAGAGAUGUAUACCUGUAUUUUAGUCAAUGGGGAUCCACAAAAUACCUCGACGCCUUCAUACCUUGAAUCAUCAGGCUCCCAGCUAACUUAUUCAGUGCUGUUCACUGAAUCCUCACUACAUCCUCACCACCCUCCCCAGAGAUGUGGAAGUACUACUAUUCCAGUUUUAAGGGUGAAGCUCCAGGCCAGAUCCUAAAUGAUUUAGGCACCUAACCAACAAGUCAGAUUCUUGCCUAGCAUCCUACAGGAAGCCAGUGAAAAUCCUCUAUAUGGAAUUAUGGCAUCUCCAUAAUUGCUGUCAAAUCAUGUUAACUACUUAUCCUGGAAGAAAGUGGAGAUGACAUCUGCUAGGACAGGGAGAAACUCUGAGACAUAACUCCUGGACACAGUUGAAACAGAGUCCUAUGAAGAUGAAGAUUGCUAAUGAUCUGCAGCUGCAGAGACCCUUGUCACUUCCACUCAUUUUAUUGGAAAAUUUAGAAAACCUCUCUCUGCAUAUAAACUUCUGUUGAACUUACUUAAAUUGAUAGAGAAGCACAAAACAGAGCAAGACUAUUUGAGAUGCAUAUCAACUUCUUUCUGAUUCUUGGUUAUUAGUAAAUGCAUGCAUGCAGUUUUGAUUUU
This is a long non-coding RNA of Oxyura jamaicensis (ruddy duck), 1529 nucleotides long. RefSeq lists it as uncharacterized. The transcript has 3 exons. The record is from RefSeq and is a predicted model, not a curated record. Lineage: Eukaryota; Metazoa; Chordata; Aves; Anseriformes; Anatidae.